This 199-nucleotide ribosomal RNA is filed under the name uncultured bacterium. RNAcentral describes it as "partial 16S ribosomal RNA". It matches the Rfam family "Bacterial small subunit ribosomal RNA", at positions 328 to 539 of the family's 1533-position model. The record is from RNAcentral.
ACGCUCGACACCUACGAGAGGCAGCAGUCGGGAAUAUUGCGCAAUGGAGGAAACUCUGACGCAGUGACGCCGCGUGCAGGAAGAAGGUUUUCGGAUUGUAAACUGCUUUAGACAGGGAAGAAUAAUGACAGUACCUGUAGAAUAAGCUCCGGCUAACUACGUGCCCGCAGCCGCGGUAAUCUGAGCGGGCUGGCAAGGC